AAAUUGAAGAGUUUGAUCAUGGCUCAGAUUGAACGCUGGCGGCAGGCCUAACACAUGCAAGUCGAACGGUAACAGGAAGCAGCUUGCUGCUUCGCUGACGAGUGGCGGACGGGUGAGUAAUGUCUGGGAAACUGCCUGAUGGAGGGGGAUAACUACUGGAAACGGUGGCUAAUACCGCAUAACGUCGCAAGACCAAAGAGGGGGACCUUCGGGCCUCUUGCCAUCAGAUGUGCCCAGAUGGGAUUAGCUUGUUGGUGAGGUAACGGCUCACCAAGGCGACGAUCCCUAGCUGGUCUGAGAGGAUGACCAGCCACACUGGAACUGAGACACGGUCCAGACUCCUACGGGAGGCAGCAGUGGGGAAUAUUGCACAAUGGGCGCAAGCCUGAUGCAGCCAUGCCGCGUGUAUGAAGAAGGCCUUCGGGUUGUAAAGUACUUUCAGCGGGGAGGAAGGUGUUGUGGUUAAUAACCGCAGCAAUUGACGUUACCCGCAGAAGAAGCACCGGCUAACUCCGUGCCAGCAGCCGCGGUAAUACGGAGGGUGCAAGCGUUAAUCGGAAUUACUGGGCGUAAAGCGCACGCAGGCGGUCUGUCAAGUCGGAUGUGAAAUCCCCGGGCUCAACCUGGGAACUGCAUUCGAAACUGGCAGGCUUGAGUCUUGUAGAGGGGGGUAGAAUUCCAGGUGUAGCGGUGAAAUGCGUAGAGAUCUGGAGGAAUACCGGUGGCGAAGGCGGCCCCCUGGACAAAGACUGACGCUCAGGUGCGAAAGCGUGGGGAGCAAACAGGAUUAGAUACCCUGGUAGUCCACGCCGUAAACGAUGUCUACUUGGAGGUUGUGCCCUUGAGGCGUGGCUUCCGGAGCUAACGCGUUAAGUAGACCGCCUGGGGAGUACGGCCGCAAGGUUAAAACUCAAAUGAAUUGACGGGGGCCCGCACAAGCGGUGGAGCAUGUGGUUUAAUUCGAUGCAACGCGAAGAACCUUACCUGGUCUUGACAUCCACAGAACUUUCCAGAGAUGGACUGGUGCCUUCGGGAACUGUGAGACAGGUGCUGCAUGGCUGUCGUCAGCUCGUGUUGUGAAAUGUUGGGUUAAGUCCCGCAACGAGCGCAACCCUUAUCCUUUGUUGCCAGCGAUUAGGUCGGGAACUCAAAGGAGACUGCCAG
RNAcentral lists this ribosomal RNA (1164 nucleotides) under Salmonella enterica subsp. enterica serovar Stanleyville. Its description in RNAcentral is "bacterial SSU rRNA". It matches the Rfam family "Bacterial small subunit ribosomal RNA", at positions 1 to 1155 of the family's 1533-position model. The record is from RNAcentral. Lineage: Bacteria; Pseudomonadati; Pseudomonadota; Gammaproteobacteria; Enterobacterales; Enterobacteriaceae.